RNAcentral lists this ribosomal RNA (468 nucleotides) under uncultured bacterium. RNAcentral describes it as "partial 16S ribosomal RNA". It matches the Rfam family "Bacterial small subunit ribosomal RNA", at positions 28 to 507 of the family's 1533-position model. The record is from RNAcentral.
GACGAACGCUGGCGGCGUGCUUAACACAUGCAAGUCGAACGGAAAGGCCCUGCUUUUGUGGGGUGCUCGAGUGGCGAACGGGUGAGUAACACGUGAGUAACCUGCCCUUGACUUUGGGAUAACUUCAGGAAACUGGGGCUAAUACCGGAUAGGAGCUCCUGCUGCAUGGUGGGGGUUGGAAAGUUUCGGCGGUUGGGGAUGGACUCGCGGCUUAUCAGCUUGUUGGUGGGGUAGUGGCUUACCAAGGCUUUGACGGGUAGCCGGCCUGAGAGGGUGACCGGCCACAUUGGGACUGAGAUACGGCCCAGACUCCUACGGGAGGCAGCAGUGGGGAAUAUUGCACAAUGGGCGGAAGCCUUAUGCAGCAACGCCGCGUGCGGGAUGACGGCCUUCGGGUUGUAAACCGCUUUCGCCUGUGACGAAGCGUGAGUGAUGGUAAUGGGUAAAGAAGCACCGGCUAACUACGUG